AUUUUUCAUAUCAAAUAACAUAAUAAAAAUCAUAAACGCGCCUCGUAUACCAACACUGCAGGUACACGUAUAUAGGGAAACCAACUAUUUCUUCAUUAUUCUGAUUUUUUAUGUAUCGUCUGAGUUGUUGUCCCACGAAUGUUUACUCCAUAAACAUUUUGUUUUCUAUAUGUCAUAAUUUGCCGCAUUUGUUGCUUUCCCCACAUCCUUCCUUUAGUCUAUAUUAU
This 227-nucleotide long non-coding RNA is filed under the name Mytilus galloprovincialis (Mediterranean mussel). The record is from RNAcentral. Lineage: Eukaryota; Metazoa; Mollusca; Bivalvia; Mytilida; Mytilidae.